GCACAAGCGGUGGAGCAUGUGGCUUAAUUCGAUGCAACGCGAAGAACCUUACCUGGGCUUGACAUGUUCGGUCUACCUGCAGAGAUGUGGGGUGCUUUUGCGCCGUUCACAGGUGGUGCAUGGUUGUCGUCAGCUCGUGUCGUGAGAUGUUGGGUUAAGUCCCGCAACGAGCGCAACCCUCGUUCCAUGUUGCCAGCGCGUUAAGGCGGGGACUCAUGGGAGACUGCCGGGGUCAACUCGGAGGAAGGUGGGGAUGACGUCAAAUCAUCAUGCCCCUUAUGUCCAGGGCUGCACACAUGCUACAAUGGCCGGUACAGAGGGCUGCGAUACCGCAAGGUGGAGCGAAUCCCAAAAAGCCGGUCUCAGUUCGGAUCGGGGUCUGCAACUCGACCCCGUGAAGUCGGAGUCGCUAGUAAUCGCAGAUCAGCAACGCUGCGGUGAAUACGUUCCCGGGC
This 455-nucleotide ribosomal RNA is filed under the name uncultured bacterium. RNAcentral describes it as "bacterial SSU rRNA". It matches the Rfam family "Bacterial small subunit ribosomal RNA", at positions 923 to 1379 of the family's 1533-position model. The record is from RNAcentral.